UACGAAGGGGGCUAGAGAUAUUCAGAUUUACUGGGCGUAAAGCGCACGUAGGCGGAUUUGUCAGUCAGGGGUGAAAUCCCGGGGCUCAACCUCGGAACUGCCUCUGAUACAGCAAAUCUCGAGUCCGGAAGAGGUGAGAGGAACUCCUAGUGUAGAGGUGAAAUUCGUAGAUAUUAGGAAGAACACCAGUGGCGAAGGCGGCUCACUGGUCCGGAACUGACGCUGAGGUGCGAAAGCGUGGGGAGCAAACAGG
This 253-nucleotide ribosomal RNA is filed under the name uncultured bacterium. RNAcentral's name for it is "partial 16S ribosomal RNA". It matches the Rfam family "Bacterial small subunit ribosomal RNA", at positions 524 to 776 of the family's 1533-position model. The record is from RNAcentral.